AAUCCCCUGUGGUUGGUGAUCAAGGAAGAGCAUAGUGCCAGACCUAGGUGCCCUCCUGGGAAUGUUCCAGGAGGGCAGGAGUAGGAGGAGGAGUGUUAGAGUAGAGGGGAAAUGAUGAGAGCAGAAAGGGUAUCAUAAAGGAACCUCAGGGGUGAUAUAAGUGGACACAGACAUAUGUCACAAGGGCACGGGUUUAGAACAGGAAGGCUGUUGUACGUGGUUGGAGAGGGAGUUCAAAGAGUCAGAAAGCUGGUUUCAGAAGUUGAGAGGUGUUAGAGGGAGACAGGGCAGGACUUUGUAAGGUGACAAAGAAGUAGAGACUGAAACCCUGUCUCUACUACAAAUACAAAAAUUAGCCGGGCGUGGUGGCGGGCGCCUAUAGUCCCAGCAAGAGGAGUGAAUAGGUGGUCAAAUAAGGUCUUAGAGGAGCUAAAGGGGCAGGGAGCUUAUGGGCGAACAGGAAAGGUUUACAGCAGGACCCCGCAGGAUUCAUAGGGACGAAGUAAAGGAUAUUAUAAAAGGAACAGUGAGAGAGCUAACAGAAGUUUUACUUUGGGGGGCAGAGGUGGGAGGAUCACCUGAGCCCAGGAAUUCAAGACCAGCAUGGGCAACAUUGUAGCAAAACCCCAUCUCUACCAAAAGAAAAAAAUUUUUUUUUUUUUUUUUUUUUUUUGAGAGAGUCUCGCUGUGUCACCCAGGCUGGAGUGCAGUGGCAGGAUCUUGGCUCACUUCAACCUCCACCUCCCGAGUUCUGCCUCAGCCUCCCAAGUAGCUGGGAUUACAGGUCCAGUCACUCCACGCUUGCAGAGUCCAAUUAACAAGAGCAAGUUCUGGUAGAAAGAAGGUGACUUUAUUCCAGAGCUCAGGUGUUUGAACUGAUGUCUGAUGAGGAUGAAUCCAGCGACUACCUCUGCCUGUCCAUCCUGGGCCUCUUCUGUUGCCUUCCCCUAGCCAUCCCAGCCGUGAUCUUUUCUUGCCUGACAAAGAACUACAAUAAAUCCAGUGACUAUGAGCUGGCAGCCAAGACCUCCAAACAAGCCUACUACUGGGCCAUCGCGAGCAUCACUGUGGGAAUCUUAGGUACCAUCUUGUACACCUACCUGAUAUACUUACUUAGAUUGUAAACUGCUUCCCAGCUCUUGAACAAACCACCAAAUAUACACCACAG
This 1168-nucleotide long non-coding RNA is filed under the name Homo sapiens (human). RNAcentral's name for it is "HSALNT0397643". Lineage: Eukaryota; Metazoa; Chordata; Mammalia; Primates; Hominidae. The record is from RNAcentral.